UAUUCUGCCCUACAGGGAAGGAUGAGAAGCUUCGACUAAGGUUCGACUCGAGCGAAGCGAG
RNAcentral lists this small RNA (61 nucleotides) under Klebsiella pneumoniae. RNAcentral describes it as "partial RtT sRNA". It matches the Rfam family "RtT RNA", at positions 1 to 61 of the family's 130-position model. From Rfam's summary of the family: This family represents a bacterial cis-regulatory element known as RtT RNA. The exact function of RtT is unknown although it is thought that it may be involved in changing the cellular response in relation to amino acid starvation. Lineage: Bacteria; Pseudomonadati; Pseudomonadota; Gammaproteobacteria; Enterobacterales; Enterobacteriaceae. The record is from RNAcentral.